RNAcentral lists this transfer RNA (73 nucleotides) under Enhygromyxa salina. Its description in RNAcentral is "tRNA-Lys". It matches the Rfam family "tRNA". Rfam says of the family: Transfer RNA (tRNA) molecules are approximately 80 nucleotides in length. Their secondary structure includes four short double-helical elements and three loops (D, anti-codon, and T loops). Further hydrogen bonds mediate the characteristic L-shaped molecular structure. tRNAs have two regions of fundamental functional importance: the anti-codon, which is responsible for specific mRNA codon recognition, and the 3' end, to which the tRNAs corresponding amino acid is attached (by aminoacyl-tRNA synthetases). tRNAs cope with the degeneracy of the genetic code in two manners: having more than one tRNA (with a specific anti-codon) for a particular amino acid; and 'wobble' base-pairing, i.e. permitting non-standard base-pairing at the 3rd anti-codon position. Lineage: Bacteria; Pseudomonadati; Myxococcota; Nannocystales; Nannocystaceae. The record is from RNAcentral.
GGGCUCGUAGCUCAAUUGGCAGAGCAGCGGACUCUUAAUCCGCGGGUUGGAGGUUCGAUUCCUCCCGGGCUCA